Molecule: ribosomal RNA, 478 nt
Filed under: uncultured bacterium
Lineage: Bacteria
Description: partial 16S ribosomal RNA
Rfam family: Bacterial small subunit ribosomal RNA
Source: RNAcentral
AACGAACGCUGGCGGCGUGCUUAACACAUGCAAGUCGAGCGGUAAGGCCUUUCGGGGUACACGAGCGGCGAACGGGUGAGUAACACGUGGGUGAUCUGCCCUGCACUCUGGGAUAAGCCUGGGAAACUGGGUCUAAUACCGGAUAUGACUACAUGCUGCAUGGUGUGUGGUGGAAAGAUUUAUCGGUGCAGGAUGGGCCCGCGGCCUAUCAGCUUGUUGGUGGGGUAAUGGCCUACCAAGGCGACGACGGGUAGCCGACCUGAGAGGGUGACCGGCCACACUGGGACUGAGACACGGCCCAGACUCCUACGGGAGGCAGCAGUGGGGAAUAUUGCACAAUGGGCGGAAGCCUGAUGCAGCGACGCCGCGUGAGGGAUGAAGGCCUUCGGGUUGUAAACCUCUUUCAGCAGGGACGAAGCGUGAGUGACGGUACCUGCAGAAGAAGCACCGGCUAACUACGUGCCAGCAGCCGCCGUAA